This 753-nucleotide ribosomal RNA is filed under the name Staphylococcus nepalensis. RNAcentral's name for it is "bacterial SSU rRNA". It matches the Rfam family "Bacterial small subunit ribosomal RNA", at positions 56 to 790 of the family's 1533-position model. Lineage: Bacteria; Bacillati; Bacillota; Bacilli; Caryophanales; Staphylococcaceae. The record is from RNAcentral.
UGCAAGUCGAGCGAACAGAUAAGGAGCUUGCUCCUUUGACGUUAGCGGCGGACGGGUGAGUAACACGUGGGUAACCUACCUAUAAGACUGGAAUAACUCCGGGAAACCGGGGCUAAUGCCGGAUAAUAUUUAGAACCGCAUGGUUCUAAAGUGAAAGAUGGUUUUGCUAUCACUUAUAGAUGGACCCGCGCCGUAUUAGCUAGUUGGUGGGGUAAUGGCUUACCAAGGCAACGAUACGUAGCCGACCUGAGAGGGUGAUCGGCCACACUGGAACUGAGACACGGUCCAGACUCCUACGGGAGGCAGCAGUAGGGAAUCUUCCGCAAUGGGCGAAAGCCUGACGGAGCAACGCCGCGUGAGUGAUGAAGGUCUUCGGAUCGUAAAACUCUGUUAUUAGGGAAGAACAAAUGUGUAAGUAACUGUGCACGUCUUGACGGUACCUAAUCAGAAAGCCACGGCUAACUACGUGCCAGCAGCCGCGGUAAUACGUAGGUGGCAAGCGUUAUCCGGAAUUAUUGGGCGUAAAGCGCGCGUAGGCGGUUUCUUAAGUCUGAUGUGAAAGCCCACGGCUCAACCGUGGAGGGUCAUUGGAAACUGGGAAACUUGAGUGCAGAAGAGGAAAGUGGAAUUCCAUGUGUAGCGGUGAAAUGCGCAGAGAUAUGGAGGAACACCAGUGGCGAAGGCGACUUUCUGGUCUGUAACUGACGCUGAUGUGCGAAAGCGUGGGGGAUCAAACAGGAUUAGAUACCCCUG